CUCCUGUGGCAACAGAGAGUCCGGUCCACUACAUCACGCGGGGCUCUGGCGUUUUCUCAAUGUUGAUUUCGUUUACCAUCCUUAGUGCAGCUUCGGUUUGAUUCAUUUUAAGGAAAAGGGUGAGACAGAGGUGAUUUAUCUCUGCUGUUUUGGGGACCCAGAAGAAAGAACCCAUAUCCCACAUCCCUCCCAACGUUUGCAAGAGUGCUGGUGCUUGAGGGUAUGGUUUCCUUGGCAUCCGAUAAAAGAAGGGCAGCGUCUCCUCCGUCCACCGCUCUCCCCUCCCGUCGUCUCCUCUGGGAAGGUAUUUCCGCACACCCCGCGUGGGGGAAAGUUCUUCGGUUCUACGUUCUCUCUUCUCUUUUCCUCUUUGCAUCCACGCUUUCCUUCUCUUUCACCUCCAUCCUCUUCUCUCCUGUUUACCCAGUAGAAAGGUUUCAUGGCUGGGCGAUGGUUCAGUCCCCUUCCUGCCUCGUCUCUUUCUAUCAUCAUCCUCUCCCAGAUAUGCAUCCAUGCUUUCUCCAUCCAGAAACCUUCCCACCCUUCUAGCAAUCGCUUACUCUCUUCACCUCUGCCGUCCUGGCCUCCACUU
Pogona vitticeps (central bearded dragon) is the source of this 592-nucleotide non-coding RNA. Lineage: Eukaryota; Metazoa; Chordata; Lepidosauria; Squamata; Agamidae. The record is from RefSeq and is a predicted model, not a curated record.